Molecule: ribosomal RNA, 1605 nt
Filed under: seawater metagenome
Description: bacterial LSU rRNA
Rfam family: Bacterial large subunit ribosomal RNA
Source: RNAcentral
CUGCGAGAGCGGUACCAAAUCGAGAUGAACUCUGAAUACCCUGUGUGUAGCGAGGCAGUCAGACUGUGGGGGAUAAGCUCCAUGGUCGAGAGGGAAACAGCCCAGACCGCCAGCUAAGGUCCCCAAAUCAACACUAAGUGAUAAAGGAGGUGGGAUUGCCCAGACAACCAGGAGGUUUGCCUAGAAGCAGCCAUCCUCAAAGGAGUGCGUAAUAGCUCACUGGUCGAGCGAUCCUGCGCCGAAAAUGAAUGGGGCUAAGUGUUGUACCGAAGCUGCGGAUUUAUGGUAGGGGAGCGUUCUAUGUGGGGCGAAGCGUUAGCGUGAGCGGGCGUGGACUGCAUAGAAGUGAGAAUGUCGGCUUGAGUAGCGAAAACAUGGGUGAGAAUCCCAUGCACCGAAACCCUAAGGGUUCCUCCGGCAGGCUCGUCCGCGGAGGGUUAGUCUGGACCUAAGGCGAGGCCGAAAGGCGUAGUCGAUGGAUAACAGGUCAACAUUCCUGUACCGGUUAUGUUUUGGGAAGAGGGACGGAGAAGGCUAGCCAAGCCAGAUGUUGGUUACUGGUUCAAGCGUUCGAGGCGUUGAGGAUCGGCGAAAACGAUCCGAGCUGAGGCGUGAGUACGAGCUGCUACGGCAGCGAAGUUGGUGAUGUCAUGCUUCCAAGAAAAGCUCUAUACCCGUUAAGGCAUAACUGCCAGUACCCGAAACCGACACAGGUGGGGUGGUAGAGAAUACCGAGGUGCGCGAGGUAACUCUCUCUAAGGAACUCGGCAAAAUGGCCCCGUAACUUCGGGAGAAGGGGUGCCACAGCAAUGUGGUCGCAGUGAAGAGGCCCUGGCGACUGUUUACCAAAAACACAGGUCUCCGCUAAGUCGCAAGACGAUGUAUGGGGGCUGACGCCUGCCCAGUGCCGGAAGGUUAAGGAAGCCGGUCAGCGUAAGCGAAGCUGGCGACUGAAGCCCCGGUGAACGGCGGCCGUAACUAUAACGGUCCUAAGGUAGCGAAAUUCCUUGUCGGGUAAGUUCCGACCCGCACGAAAGGCGUAACGAUCAGGGCGCUGUCUCGGAGAGAGGCUCGGCGAAAUAGAAUUGUCUGUGAAGAUGCGGACUACAUACACCCGGACAGAAAGACCCUAUGAAGCUUUACUGUAGCUUGGUAUUGUGCCCGGGCUCUGAAUGCGCAGGAUAGGUGGGAGACGUUGAUCUAGUGCUCGUGGGUACUAGGGAGUCAAUGGUGAGAUACCACUCUUUCAGAGCUAGGGUUCUAACGUUCACCCGUUAUCCGGGGAGCGGACAGUAUCAGGUGGGCAGUUUGACUGGGGCGGUCGCCUCCUAAAAGGUAACGGAGGCGCGCAAAGGUUUCCUCAGGCUGGUUGGAAAUCAGCCGACGAGUGCAAAAGCAGAAGGAAGCUUGACUGUGAGACCUACAAGUCGAACAGGGACGAAAGUCGGCUUUAGUGAUCCGACGGUUCUGAGUGGAAGGGCCGUCGCUCAACGGAUAAAAGUUACUCUAGGGAUAACAGGCUGAUCUCCCCCAAGAGUUCAUAUCGACGGGGAGGUUUGGCAGAUCGGAAGAGCACACGUCUGAACUCCAGUCACACGCAACAUC